UACGUAGGGGGCAAGCGUUAUCCGGAUUUACUGGGUGUAAAGGGAGCGUAGACGGCGGCGCAAGUCUGAUGUGAAAGCCUGGGGCUCAACCCCGGAACUGCAUUGGAAACUGUGCUGCUGGAGUGCCGGAGAGGUAAGCGGAAUUCCUAGUGUAGCGGUGAAAUGCGUAGAUAUUAGGAGGAACACCAGUGGCGAAGGCGGCUUACUGGACAGUAACUGACGUUGAGGCUCGAAAGCGUGGGGAGCAAACAGG
RNAcentral lists this ribosomal RNA (253 nucleotides) under uncultured bacterium. RNAcentral's name for it is "partial 16S ribosomal RNA". It matches the Rfam family "Bacterial small subunit ribosomal RNA", at positions 524 to 776 of the family's 1533-position model. The record is from RNAcentral.